This 648-nucleotide ribosomal RNA is filed under the name bacterium EA10-N-37. RNAcentral describes it as "bacterial SSU rRNA". It matches the Rfam family "Bacterial small subunit ribosomal RNA", at positions 46 to 700 of the family's 1533-position model. The record is from RNAcentral.
GCUUACACAUGCAAGUCGAACGAUGAACUGGAGCUUGCUCCAGGGAUUAGUGGCGAACGGGUGAGUAACACGUGAGUAACCUGCCCUUGACUCUGGGAUAAGCGUUGGAAACGACGUCUAAUACCGGAUAUGAGCUGCGACGGCAUCGUCUGCAGUUGGAAAGAUUUUUUGGUCAAGGAUGGACUCGCGGCCUAUCAGGUAGUUGGUGAGGUAACGGCUCACCAAGCCGACGACGGGUAGCCGGCCUGAGAGGGUGACCGGCCACACUGGGACUGAGACACGGCCCAGACUCCUACGGGAGGCAGCAGUGGGGAAUAUUGCACAAUGGGCGAAAGCCUGAUGCAGCAACGCCGCGUGAGGGAUGACGGCCUUCGGGUUGUAAACCUCUUUUAGUAGGGAAGAAGGGAGCUUGCUCUUGACGGUACCUGCAGAAAAAGCACCGGCUAACUACGUGCCAGCAGCCGCGGUAAUACGUAGGGUGCAAGCGUUGUCCGGAAUUAUUGGGCGUAAAGAGCUCGUAGGCGGUUUGUCGCGUCUGCUGUGAAAUCUGGGGGGCUCAACCCCCAGCCUGCAGUGGGUACGGGCAGACUAGAGUGCGGUAGGGGAGAUUGGAAUUCCUGGUGUAGCGGUGGAAUGCGCAGAUAUCAG